UACAGAGGUGGCAAGCGUUGUUCGGAAUUACUGGGCGUAAAGGGCGCGUAGGCGGUCAGGUCAGUCCCGUGUGAAAUCCCUCGGCUCAACUGAGGAACUGCACGGGAAACUGCCUGGCUUGAGUUCGGGAGAGGGAAGCGGAAUUCCGGGUGUAGCGGUGAAAUGCGUAGAUAUCCGGAGGAACACCGGUGGCGAAGGCGGCUUCCUGGACCGACACUGACGCUGAGGCGCGAAAGCGUGGGGAGCAAACAGG
Molecule: ribosomal RNA, 253 nt
Filed under: uncultured bacterium
Lineage: Bacteria
Description: partial 16S ribosomal RNA
Rfam family: Bacterial small subunit ribosomal RNA
Source: RNAcentral